AUUGAACGCUGGCGGCAUGCUUUACACAUGCAAGUCGAGCGGCAGCGCGGGGGCAACCCUGGCGGCGAGCGGCGAACGGGUGAGUAAUGCAUCGGAACGUAUCCUCGAGUGGGGGAUAACCCAGCGAAAGUUGGGCUAAUACCGCAUGAGCUCUGAGGAGGAAAGCGGGGGACCUGCGAGGGCCUCGCGCUGGAGGAGCGGCCGAUGUCCGAUUAGCUAGUUGGUGGGGUAAAGGCUUACCAAGGCGACGAUCGGUAGCUGGUCUGAGAGGAUGAUCAGCCACACUGGGACUGAGACACGGCCCAGACUCCUACGGGAGGCAGCAGUGGGGAAUUUUGGACAAUGGGGGCAACCCUGAUCCAGCCAUGCCGCGUGAGCGAAGAAGGCCUUCGGGUUGUAAAGCUCUUUCGGACGGAACGAAAUGGGCGGGACUAAUACUCCUGUCUGAUGACGGUACCGUAAGAAGAAGCACCGGCUAACUACGUG
This 486-nucleotide ribosomal RNA is filed under the name uncultured bacterium. RNAcentral's name for it is "partial 16S ribosomal RNA". It matches the Rfam family "Bacterial small subunit ribosomal RNA", at positions 29 to 507 of the family's 1533-position model. The record is from RNAcentral.